GGGGGAGCAAGAGAGAAAGAGAGACGGACAGAGACGUGCGUGUGCGAGAGAGUCCGAUCGUACAAAUCAAUCGCCUUCUAACAAGCCGCAUUAACCUCAAGUGAUUUAUAUUUUCUUACGAAGCGCGAAAGAAGUAAUUAGUGUGUUUAUAUCGUAUAAAAGAAGAAGAAAACAAAAAAAAA
Long non-coding RNA from Vespa mandarinia (Asian giant hornet), 182 nucleotides. The record is from RefSeq and is a predicted model, not a curated record. NCBI's taxonomy places the organism in Eukaryota, Metazoa, Arthropoda, Insecta, Hymenoptera, Vespidae.